RNAcentral lists this ribosomal RNA (1345 nucleotides) under uncultured bacterium. Its description in RNAcentral is "bacterial SSU rRNA". It matches the Rfam family "Bacterial small subunit ribosomal RNA", at positions 28 to 1381 of the family's 1533-position model. The record is from RNAcentral.
GACGAACGCUGGCGGCGUGCUUAACACAUGCAAGUCGAACGGAAAGGCCCUGCUUUUGUGGGGUGCUCGAGUGGCGAACGGGUGAGUAACACGUGAGUAACCUGCCCUUGACUUUGGGAUAACUUCAGGAAACUGGGGCUAAUACCGGAUAGGAGCUCCUGCUGCAUGGUGGGGGUUGGAAAGUUUCGGCGGUUGGGGAUGGACUCGCGGCUUAUCAGCUUGUUGGUGGGGUAGUGGCUUACCAAGGCUUUGACGGGUAGCCGGCCUGAGAGGGUGACCGGCCACAUUGGGACUGAGAUACGGCCCAGACUCCUACGGGAGGCAGCAGUGGGGAAUAUUGCACAAUGGGCGGAAGCCUGAUGCAGCAACGCCGCGUGCGGGAUGACGGCCUUCGGGUUGUAAACCGCUUUCGCCUGUGACGAAGCGUGAGUGACGGUAAUGGGUAAAGAAGCACCGGCUAACUACGUGCCAGCAGCCGCGGUGAUACGUAGGGUGCGAGCGUUGUCCGGAUUUAUUGGGCGUAAGGGCUCGUAGGUGGUUGAUCGCGUCGGAAGUGUAAUCUUGGGGCUUAACCCUGAGCGUGCUUUCGAUACGGGUUGACUUGAGGAAGGUAGGGGAGAAUGGAAUUCCUGGUGGAGCGGUGGAAUGCGCAGAUAUCAGGAGGAACACCAGUGGCGAAGGCGGUUCUCUGGGCCUUUCCUGACGCUGAGGAGCGAAAGCGUGGGGAGCGAACAGGCUUAGAUACCCUGGUAGUCCACGCUGUAAACGGUGGGUACUAGGUGUGGGGUCCAUUCCACGGGUUCCGUGCCGUAGCUAACGCUUUAAGUACCCCGCCUGGGGAGUACGGCCGCAAGGCUAAAACUCAAAGGAAUUGACGGGGCCCCGCACAAGCGGCGGAGCAUGCGGAUUAAUUCGAUGCAACGCGUAGAACCUUACCUGGGUUUGACAUGGACCGGGAGUGCUCAGAGAUGGGUGUGCCUCUUUUGGGGUCGGUUCACAGGUGGUGCAUGGCUGUCGUCAGCUCGUGUCGUGAGAUGUUGGGUUAAGUCCCGCAACGAGCGCAACCCUUGUUCACUGUUGCCAGCACGUUAUGGUGGGGACUCAGUGGAGACCGCCGGGGUCAACUCGGAGGAAGGUGGGGAUGACGUCAAGUCAUCAUGCCCCUUAUGUCCAGGGCUUCACGCAUGCUACAAUGGCUGGUACAGAGAGUGGCGAGCCUGUGAGGGUGAGCGAAUCUCGGAAAGCCGGUCUCAGUUCGGAUUGGGGUCUGCAACUCGACCUCAUGAAGUCGGAGUCGCUAGUAAUCGCAGAUCAGCAACGCUGCGGUGAAUACGUUCCCGGGGCU